GAUGAACGCUAGCGGCAGGCCUAAUACAUGCAAGUCGGACGGGAUUUGGGAGCUUGCUCCUAAUGAGAGUGGCGCACGGGUGCGUAACACGUACGUAACCUACCUUAGUCAGGGGGAUAGCCUCUCGAAAGCGAGAUUAAGACCGCAUAACAUUAUUGAGUGGCAUCAUUUAAUAAUCAAAUAUUUAUAGGACUAAGAUGGGCAUGCGGAACAUUAGCUAGUUGGUAGGGUAACGGCCUACCAAGGCUACGAUGUUUAGGGGAUCUGAGAGGAUGGCCCCCCACACUAGUACUGAGACACGGACCAGACUCCUACGGGAGGCAGCAGUAAGGAAUAUUGGUCAAUGGUCGGAAGCCUGAACCAGCCAUGCCGCGUGCAGGAAGACGACCCUACGGGUUGUAAACUGCUUUUAUACGGGAAUAAACCUACUUACGUGUAAGUAGCUGAAUGUACUGUAAGAAUAAGGAUCGGCUAACUCCGUGCCAGCCGCCGCGGUAA
This 498-nucleotide ribosomal RNA is filed under the name uncultured bacterium. Its description in RNAcentral is "partial 16S ribosomal RNA". It matches the Rfam family "Bacterial small subunit ribosomal RNA", at positions 28 to 523 of the family's 1533-position model. The record is from RNAcentral.